Molecule: transfer RNA, 73 nt
Filed under: Lactobacillus sp. YT155
Lineage: Bacteria; Bacillati; Bacillota; Bacilli; Lactobacillales; Lactobacillaceae
Description: tRNA-Glu
Rfam family: tRNA
About the family: Transfer RNA (tRNA) molecules are approximately 80 nucleotides in length. Their secondary structure includes four short double-helical elements and three loops (D, anti-codon, and T loops).
Source: RNAcentral
UGCCCGUUGGUCAAACUGGUUAAGACGCUACCCUCUCAAGGUAGAAUUACGGGUUCGAGUCCCGUACGGGUGA